UCCCUGGUGGCUCAGACAGUAAAGGGUCUGUCUACAAUGCAGGAGACCCAGGUUCGAUCCCUGGGUUGGGAA
Molecule: transfer RNA, 72 nt
Organism: Ovis aries (sheep)
Lineage: Eukaryota; Metazoa; Chordata; Mammalia; Artiodactyla; Bovidae
Rfam family: tRNA
About the family: Transfer RNA (tRNA) molecules are approximately 80 nucleotides in length.
Source: Rfam